Phyllostomus discolor (pale spear-nosed bat) is the source of this 95-nucleotide long non-coding RNA. RefSeq lists it as uncharacterized. Lineage: Eukaryota; Metazoa; Chordata; Mammalia; Chiroptera; Phyllostomidae. The transcript has 3 exons. The record is from RefSeq and is a predicted model, not a curated record.
UUCAUCAUGGUAUUCACAAUGGCGUGCAAUUUAAAACUUUGCUUGUUUCAGAAAUUUUCCAUGUAAUAUUUUUGGACCGUAAAUGACCAGAGGUA